This 244-nucleotide ribosomal RNA is filed under the name uncultured Staphylococcus sp. Its description in RNAcentral is "partial 16S ribosomal RNA". It matches the Rfam family "Bacterial small subunit ribosomal RNA", at positions 96 to 334 of the family's 1533-position model. The record is from RNAcentral. Lineage: Bacteria; Bacillati; Bacillota; Bacilli; Caryophanales; Staphylococcaceae.
CGGCGGGCGGGUGAGUAACACGUGGAUAACCUACCUAUAAGACUGGGAUAACUUCGGGAAACCGGAGCUAAUACCGGAUAAUAUAUUGAACCGCAUGGUUCAAUAGUGAAAGACGGUUUUGCUGUCACUUAUAGAUGGAUCCGCGCCGCAUUAGCUAGUUGGUAAGGUAACGGCUUACCAAGGCGACGAUGCGUAGCCGACCUGAGAGGGUGAUCGGCCACACUGGAACUGAGACACGGUCCAG